Molecule: long non-coding RNA, 1489 nt
Filed under: Monodelphis domestica (gray short-tailed opossum)
Lineage: Eukaryota; Metazoa; Chordata; Mammalia; Didelphimorphia; Didelphidae
Description: lncRNA (ENSMODG00000046766.1)
Source: RNAcentral
UCCAAUCAUAGCUAAUAUGGAAAUGUGUUUUACAUGACUUGACAUACAUAAUUGAUAUCAUAUUGCUUGUCUUCUUAAUGGAUGGGGAAGAAUGUGAAGGAAGAAAAGAAUUUGAGAAAAAAAUAAUGAAUGUAAUUUAAAAAAGAAAGAAAGAAAAAGAAAAGUGAAAUGAUACCCCCAGCUAUAAAGAGAAAUACCCCAUGAAUGUUCCAGCUAUGAUGGAGAGAGUUCAAAAGUUUACCUCCAAGCAAAUCAAUUUCCAUGGUUGGAAAGAACGUCUUAGAAUUGGAGGACAUUCCAACUUCAUACCAGAAACCUGAAAACUGAAAGGAAUCACUCAUGUGGAAGAAGCCUAUUUGUUUAACCUGGAAAAUUCAGGGAAGACAACUCUGCAGUUCACAGGCAAAAUCCUCUUCAAGGUCUUCCAGGAGAGCAGACAAGGUCAUUCCAGGAGAGCAGACACUGAGAAGACAACCUGUUGGGCAAUGAAUCUUCCCAUAUCCCCAGGCUCAGGAUCCCAUGUGACCCUUUGUCACAUGCUACUGUCAAUCAUUCCCUGAGGUUUGCAUUUCUCAGUUUUUGCAACAGUUUUGCAAACUGCAAACCUUUCCAUCCUUUAUCGCAUUCCCCUCUUUUGCACGAUUAAAAAAAUCAUGUUGGAAACACUAUUUUUGAAUUUGUACACAAUCUAAAAUACUUACCAUUUACCUAAACUAAGAAAUCUACCCAAAAUAACAAACAACCUACACUUAACUAUCUUACUCUAACACUAAUGUAUUCUAAGGAAUUGUAACAAGGAAAAAGAAAAAGGAAAACAAAGUAAAUAAUGAAAAGUACAAAGCCAAACAGAAGCAAAAUCAAAACAGCAAAUAACAUCAAACAAAAGAUGAACAUAACUUCCAUGUGUAAAUCUUGAAAUCUCUCAGACUUGUGAAUGUUAAAAAAUUUCCAUAUUGAGGAAUCCUCCAUUGGAACAAAUUCCCUACUGGAAAACAUUCCCCAUUUUGAUGUGAGAACUCGCCAGGAUCAGAAAUGGGAGGACCUCUACUCCACCCAUACUUAAGACUGCUUUAGGGGAGAAAACUCCUUGCUAUGGGAGGACCUCUACUCCACCCAUACUUAAGACUGCUUUAGGGGAGAAAACUCCUUGCUAAACAAUGAAAGUACUUGGACCCAUGCUUAUAAUAAGGCAAGAAGUUCUUUGAGCCAUGCCUGUUUUUUAGAAUUGAUACAAUGGGAUGCUAGGUACCUAAAGGGGUCCGGCAAGUUUUCUCUUAAUGAGAUUAGUCAACUCAGCUGUGUUUUCUCUGGUUCAGACUUACUGAGGAGAUUAGUCGACUUAGCCAGAAUUCAUAUGGGCUGUCCUUUGAGAAAACGUCUAUGGUGAUUGGUAGAUGUAAGAACUUAGGGGAGGUGACAUAGGAAAAAAAACCCUAUAUAAGAAAAGGAAUCUCUUGAGCAAGGGAUCCUUGGAGGAUUGGAUGCUUGG